GAUGAACGCUGGCGGCGUGCCUAACACAUGCAAGUCGAGCGGCAGCGCGGGGUGCUUGCACCCUGUCGGCGAGCGGCGGACGGCUGAGUAACGCGUGGGAACGUGCCCCAAAGUGAGGAAUAACUGCCCGAAAGGGUAGCUAAUACCGCAUAUUAUCUUCGGAUCAAAGGAUUUAUCCGCUUUGAGAGCGGCUCGCGUCGGAUUAGGUAGUUGGUGAGGUAAUGGCUCACCAAGCCGACGAUCCGUAGCUGGUCUGAGAGGAUGACCAGCCAGACUGGAACUGAGACACGGUCCAGACUCCUACGGGAGGCAGCAGUGAGGAAUCUUCCACAAUGGGCGAAAGCCUGAUGGAGCAACGCCGCGUGCAGGACGAAGGCCUUCGGGUUGUAAACUGCUUUUAUAAGUGAGGAAUAUGACGGUAACUUAUGAAUAAGGAUCGGCUAACUACGUG
RNAcentral lists this ribosomal RNA (451 nucleotides) under uncultured bacterium. RNAcentral describes it as "partial 16S ribosomal RNA". It matches the Rfam family "Bacterial small subunit ribosomal RNA", at positions 28 to 507 of the family's 1533-position model. The record is from RNAcentral.